This 531-nucleotide ribosomal RNA is filed under the name Sporosarcina sp. Its description in RNAcentral is "bacterial SSU rRNA". It matches the Rfam family "Bacterial small subunit ribosomal RNA", at positions 195 to 713 of the family's 1533-position model. The record is from RNAcentral. Lineage: Bacteria; Bacillati; Bacillota; Bacilli; Caryophanales; Caryophanaceae.
AAACUCUGAAAGACGGUUUCGGCUGUCACUGUAGGAUGGGCCCGCGGCGCAUUAGCUAGUUGGUGGGGUAAUGGCCUACCAAGGCAACGAUGCGUAGCCGACCUGAGAGGGUGAUCGGCCACACUGGGACUGAGACACGGCCCAGACUCCUACGGGAGGCAGCAGUAGGGAAUCUUCCACAAUGGACGAAAGUCUGAUGGAGCAAUGCCGCGUGAGCGAAGAAGGUUUUCGGAUCGUAAAGCUCUGUUGUAAGGGAAGAACACGUACGGGAGUAACUGCCCGUGCCAUGACGGUACCUUAUUAGAAAGCCACGGCUAACUACGUGCCAGCAGCCGCGGUAAUACGUAGGUGGCAAGCGUUGUCCGGAAUUAUUGGGCGUAAAGCGCGCGCAGGCGGUUCUUUAAGUCUGAUGUGAAAGCCCACGGCUCAACCGUGGAGGGUCAUUGGAAACUGGAGAACUUGAGUACAGAAGAGGAAAGCGGAAUUCCACGUGUAGCGGUGAAAUGCGUAGAGAUGUGGAGGAACACCAGU